RNAcentral lists this long non-coding RNA (580 nucleotides) under Trifolium pratense (red clover). RNAcentral describes it as "long non-coding RNA (TPRA_LNC012853)". The record is from RNAcentral. Lineage: Eukaryota; Viridiplantae; Streptophyta; Magnoliopsida; Fabales; Fabaceae.
GCCAUUCAAAUUAAAAUAUUAAAAAUUCAUUGAUGAUAUGUUGUUUAGCCACUCUGUCCAACAAAGGUGAUGAAGCAGAGCAUUACAAGGAAUAAAUAUUACUUUUUUUCUCUCAUAUUAAUCUUUAUAAUUAAGAACAUAUGCAAUUGUAAUCAGUGAAGAGAUCUUGGUACUAAACAAAAAAUUAACAAUUUAAAUUUCUUCACUAUCACAUUUACUUUCAAAAUAUAUAUCUCAAAAUAUGAAAAUCUGACUAAUGAAAUCUGUAACUGUGUGAAAUCCAUUUCUUUUUUAUGUACAAAGAAAAAGAGAAUCUAAUUACCUUUAAUUUCUCUACAAAGUACAAUACAAAUCCUCAAACCUCUCCCAUUUAAAUCAUCAUUCAUUUUUUUUUUCUUUUUCCAUGAAAACAAGAUUGACCCAAUAGGCCAAUACUCAUCUUCAUCAACUUAAUACACCUAAACUAAUCUAAAUGAACCUUAAUUAAUCCAUUUCAGGGAUGCUUUGAAGUGCUGGUCUCCAAGAUCUUUGAAGUGAUUUAUAGCCAUUACUAUGAUUCAUCAAUUGGGCUAAAACUUGU